UUUCUCCCCUUUUCAGUGGUCAGAUGUCAAUAUCCAGUAGUUGAACAUGGAAAACUGGUAUCAGGAAUCAGAGACAAAUAUUCCUACCAAGCAGUGGUUCUAUUCGAAUGCCUCCCAGGCUUCUAUCUUAAUGGCAGCAACCCAGUGUUCUGUGGUGGGAGAAGUACUUGGGAGCCUGAGAUGCCAAAAUGUAUCAGAGGUUUCAAGCCUACUCAUCCACCCAAACCUCCAGUUUCAAAGUAUCCAGGCUAUCCCGAGCCCAACGACCCAAUAUCACUUGAAGACUUUGAGGAAUUAGUUGUUGGCCUUGCGGUACUUUGCACCUGCCUGUAUAGAUGUUUUCAAAGGGAGAAGAAAGGGUAAAUAAAAGCAUGUUCCUUCUAACUCA
This 388-nucleotide long non-coding RNA is filed under the name Ursus americanus (American black bear). RNAcentral's name for it is "lncRNA (ENSUAMG00000017726.1)". The record is from RNAcentral. Lineage: Eukaryota; Metazoa; Chordata; Mammalia; Carnivora; Ursidae.